CAGAGGAAAUCAUAGAAGAAGCUAGCUAUGUGAAUGCACCAGCAUGCACUGUGGAUAAAGUGGCAGCCCCUCCAGACCAGAGGUCUCUCUUCUUCACUUAGUCUUUUCCACUGAUAGCAGUGUGUUGGCUGAUACUGUUAGUCAUCAUGGGCCUUCGUAUCUACUUUACGUCUGUCAUUUCUAAAAACGACGCCAAGCUGACGGCAGAAAUCCAGCAGCUGGAGACUCUGAUGCAGCAUCUGAAUUUAUCCAAAGACAACGAGACUCUACUGGCUGCCAUUCAGCACCUGACAAACCUCAACGACAAACUGAGCUCAGACAAUAAGAAGUUGAGAAGGGACUACGACGAUCUGACAGUCCAGUUGAGCAACCUGACAGAAAACUAUAC
This is a long non-coding RNA of Perca fluviatilis (European perch), 388 nucleotides long. RefSeq lists it as uncharacterized. The transcript has 3 exons. The record is from RefSeq and is a predicted model, not a curated record. NCBI's taxonomy places the organism in Eukaryota, Metazoa, Chordata, Actinopteri, Perciformes, Percidae.